This 253-nucleotide ribosomal RNA is filed under the name uncultured bacterium. Its description in RNAcentral is "partial 16S ribosomal RNA". It matches the Rfam family "Bacterial small subunit ribosomal RNA", at positions 524 to 776 of the family's 1533-position model. The record is from RNAcentral.
UACGUAGGGUGCAAGCGUUAAUCGGAAUUACUGGGCGUAAAGCGUGCGCAGGCGGUUUUGCAAGCCGGAUGUGAAAUCCCCGGGCUCAACCUGGGAAUGGCAUUCGGGACUGCAAGGCUGGAGUGCGGCAGAGGAGACUGGAAUUCCUGGUGUAGCAGUGAAAUGCGUAGAUAUCAGGAGGAAUACCGAUGGCGAAGGCAGGUCUCUGGGCUGACACUGACGCUCAUGCACGAAAGCGUGGGGAGCAAACAGG